Molecule: ribosomal RNA, 999 nt
Filed under: uncultured bacterium
Lineage: Bacteria
Also listed under: 1 other name
Description: bacterial SSU rRNA
Rfam family: Bacterial small subunit ribosomal RNA
Source: RNAcentral
UGGGGAAUAUUGCACAAUGGAGGAAACUCUGAUGCAGCGAUGCCGCGUGAGGGAAGAAGGUUUUAGGAUUGUAAACCUCUGUCUUCAGGGACGAAAAAAGGACGGUACCUGAGGAAGAAGCUUCGGCUAACUACGUGCCAGCAGCCGCGGUAAUACGUAGGGAGCGAGCGUUGUCCGGAAUUACUGGGUGUAAAGGGAGCGUAGGCGGGAUCGCAAGUCAGAUGUGAAAACUAUGGGCUUAACCCAUAAACUGCAUUUGAAACUGUGGUUCUUGAGUGAAGUAGAGGUAAGCGGAAUUCCUAGUGUAGCGGUGAAAUGCGUAGAUAUUAGGAGGAACAUCAGUGGCGAAGGCGGCUUACUGGGCUUUAACUGACGCUGAGGCUCGAAAGCGUGGGGAGCAAACAGGAUUAGAUACCCUGGUAGUCCACGCCGUAAACGAUGAUUACUAGGUGUGGGGGGACUGACCCCUUCCGUGCCGCAGCAAACGCAAUAAGUAAUCCACCUGGGGAGUACGACCGCAAGGUUGAAACUCAAAGGAAUUGACGGGGGCCCGCACAAGCAGUGGAGUAUGUGGAUUAAUUCGAAGCAACGCGAAGAACCUUACCAGGUCUUGACAUCGUAUGCAUAGCUCAGAGAUGAGUGAAAUCUCUUCGGAGACAUAUAGACAGGUGGUGCAUGGUUGUCGUCAGCUCGUGUCGUGAGAUGUUGGGUUAAGUCCCGCAACGAGCGCAACCCUUACUGUUAGUUGCUACGCAAGAGCACUCUAGCAGGACUGCCGUUGACAAAACGGAGGAAGGUGGGGAUGACGUCAAAUCAUCAUGCCCCUUAUGACCUGGGCCUCACACGUACUACAAUGGCUGUAAACAGAGGGAAGCAAAGCCGCGAGGUAGAGCGAACCCCUAAAAGCAGUCUUAGUUCGGAUUGUAGGCUGCAACCCGCCUACAUGAAGUCGGAAUUGCUAGUAAUCGCAGAUCAGCAUGCUGCGGUGAAUACGUUCCC